UUGCUUGAGUUUCUUUUGUACAUGUGAUGCAAGGAGCUAUGCAAACAUGGAUGGUGGAUAGGACCCGGGCUCAGGAUUUCAGGCAGCAGGGAACCAAGAUUAGGAGAAAGAUGUGGUUCCAGAACAUGAAGAUAAAGCUAAUCGUUCUGGGUUGCAUCGCUCAAAGAUAAGAUUAACCGCAUGUACAGUGGGGAACAUGCGAGUCAUUUUCCUCAAAUUCAACAGUGUCGCAGUCCACAACCAUAAACACAGUCAUGCUCCUUUCAGCUUUUAUCUCCUCUCUUUUUUCCCUUUCUUUCUUUCACUAUUUGGAGCAUUACCAAUUCUACAUUUUUUUCUUUACCAGCCUAUUUAAAACAGUAGUUAUUUAGAUUUUAGCAGUUUAGAAUCUUAUGUUCUUCUUGUUUCCUCUAUUGCAAUUUUACUUUUCUUCUUUUUGUUUCAUACUCUGUUCUUCUAAAUUAUAUAUCAAAUAGAAAUAAAUAAGGAUAUAAGUAAAAAAAUAUGUGUCAAUGUUCUCAACUCGAAGGUAACUGAUAUGCAAAUUUCGACAGCACUGAACUUGUAGAAAUAGCUUCUUUUUUAUAAUUUUGUGGAUAUU
Vigna radiata var. radiata (mung bean) is the source of this 601-nucleotide long non-coding RNA. RefSeq lists it as uncharacterized. The record is from RefSeq and is a predicted model, not a curated record. The transcript is spliced from 3 exons. NCBI's taxonomy places the organism in Eukaryota, Viridiplantae, Streptophyta, Magnoliopsida, Fabales, Fabaceae.